GACGAACGCUGGCGGCGUGCUUAACACAUGCAAGUCGAACGGUAAGGCCCUUCGGGGUACACGAGUGGCGAACGGGUGAGUAACACGUGGGUGAUCUGCCCUGCACUUCGGGAUAAGCCGGGGAAACUGGGUCUAAUACCGGAUAGGACUCCUGGCUUCAUGGUUGGGGGUGGAAAGCUUUUGCGGUGUGGGAUGGGCCCGCGGCCUAUCAGUUUGUUGGUGGGGUAAUGGCCUACCAAGGCGACGACGGGUAGCCGGCCUGAGAGGGUGACCGGUCACACUGGGGCUGAGAUACGGCCCAGACUCCUACGGGAGGCAGCAGUGGGGAAUAUUGCACAAUGGGCGCAAGCCUGAUGCAGCGACGCCGCGUGAGGGAUGACGGCCUUCGGGUUGUAAACCUCUUUCAGCUAUGACGAAGCGCAAGUGACGGUAGUAGCAGAAGAAGGACCGGCCAACUACGUGCCAGCCGCCGCGGUAA
This 478-nucleotide ribosomal RNA is filed under the name uncultured bacterium. RNAcentral's name for it is "partial 16S ribosomal RNA". It matches the Rfam family "Bacterial small subunit ribosomal RNA", at positions 28 to 523 of the family's 1533-position model. The record is from RNAcentral.